This 406-nucleotide ribosomal RNA is filed under the name uncultured bacterium. RNAcentral describes it as "partial 16S ribosomal RNA". It matches the Rfam family "Bacterial small subunit ribosomal RNA", at positions 30 to 526 of the family's 1533-position model. The record is from RNAcentral.
AUUGAACGCUGGCGGCAGGCCUAACACAUGCAAGUCGAACGAGCGGCGGACGGGUGUGUAAUGUCUGGGAGACUGCCUGAUGGAAGGGGAUAACUACUGGAAACGGUAGCUACUACCGCAUCCCACCAGAUGUGCCCAGAUGGGAUUAGCUAGUCGGUGGGGUAACGGCUCACCUUGGCGACGAUCCCGAGCUGGUCUGAGAGGAUGAGCAGCCACACUGGAACUGUGACACGGUCCAGACUCCUACGGGAGGCAGCAGUGGGGAAUAUUGCACAAUGGGCGCAAGCCUGAUGCAGCCAUGCCGCGUGUGUGAAGAAGGCGUUCGGGUUGUAAAGCACUUUCAGCGGGGAGGCGUUACCCGCAGAAGAAGCACCGGCUAACUCCGUGCCAGCAGCCGCGGUAAUUC